RNAcentral lists this ribosomal RNA (312 nucleotides) under Cambarus tuckasegee. RNAcentral's name for it is "partial 12S ribosomal RNA". The record is from RNAcentral. Lineage: Eukaryota; Metazoa; Arthropoda; Malacostraca; Decapoda; Cambaridae.
CUUUAAAUUUAAAGAAUUUGGCGGUGUUUUAGUCUAGUUAGAGGAACCUGUCUUAUAAACGAUAUAACACGAAUUAUCUUACUUGUUUUAGUAACUCAGUUUGUAUACCGUCAUUAUAAGAUAAUUUAGGAGAGAAUAUUAUUGAAAUCACAUUAUUGAGUAUAUUAGAUCAAGGUGCAGCUUAUAGAUAAGUAAAUAUGGGUUACAAUAAAAUUUAUUUAAUACGAAUUAAAUAUUUAAAUGUAUUUAUGAAGGAGGAUUUAAUUGUAAGAAAGGAAAUAGUAAGAUUUUCUGAUAAAAGCUCUAAAUUAU